Molecule: ribosomal RNA, 304 nt
Filed under: uncultured bacterium
Lineage: Bacteria
Description: partial 16S ribosomal RNA
Rfam family: Bacterial small subunit ribosomal RNA
Source: RNAcentral
CAGCAGUAGCCGCGGUAAUACAGAGGGUGCAAGCGUUAAUCGGAAUUACUGGGCGUAAAGCGCGCGUAGGUGGUUUGUUAAGUUGGAUGUGAAAGCCCCGGGCUCAACCUGGGAACUGCAUCCAAAACUGGCAAGCUAGAGUACGGUAGAGGGUGGUGGAAUUUCCUGUGUAGCGGUGAAAUGCGUAGAUAUAGGAAGGAACACCAGUGGCGAAGGCGACCACCUGGACUGAUACUGACACUGAGGUGCGAAAGCGUGGGGAGCAAACAGGAUUAGAUACCCCAGUAGUCCCUGUCUCUUAUAC